This 398-nucleotide ribosomal RNA is filed under the name uncultured bacterium. Its description in RNAcentral is "bacterial SSU rRNA". It matches the Rfam family "Bacterial small subunit ribosomal RNA", at positions 109 to 507 of the family's 1533-position model. The record is from RNAcentral.
CGUAACGCGUAUGCAAUCUACCUUUGCAGAGGGAUAGCCCAGAGAAAUUGGAUUAAUACCUCAUAGUAUAGUACUUUGGCAUCAAGGAACUAUUAAAGUUCCAACGGUGAAAGAUGAGCAUGCGUCCCAUUAGCUAGAUGGUAAGGUAACGGCUUACCAUGGCUACGAUGGGUAGGGGUCCUGAGAGGGAGAUCCCCCACACUGGUACUGAGACACGGACCAGACUCCUACGGGAGGCAGCAGUGAGGAAUAUUGGUCAAUGGACGCAAGCCUGAUCCAGCCAUGCCGCGUGCAGGAAGAAGGUCCUAUGGAUUGUAAACUGCUUUUAUACAAGAAGAAACACUCCCUCGUGAGGGAACUUGACGGUACUGUAUGAAUAAGGACCGGCUAACUCCGUG